RNAcentral lists this ribosomal RNA (301 nucleotides) under uncultured bacterium. Its description in RNAcentral is "partial 16S ribosomal RNA". It matches the Rfam family "Bacterial small subunit ribosomal RNA", at positions 509 to 807 of the family's 1533-position model. The record is from RNAcentral.
CAGUAGCCGCGGGAAUACGAAGGGUGCAAGCGUUAAUCGGAAUUACUGGGCGUAAAGCGUGCGCAGGCGGUUAUAUAAGACAGAUGUGAAAUCCCCGGGCUCAACCUGGGACCUGCAUUUGUGACUGUAUAGCUAGAGUACGGUAGAGGGGGAUGGAAUUCCGCGUGUAGCAGUGAAAUGCGUAGAUAUGCGGAGGAACACCGAUGGCGAAGGCAAUCCCCUGGACCUGUACUGACGCUCAUGCACGAAAGCGUGGGGAGCAAACAGGAUUAGAUACCCGAGUAGUCCCUGUCUCUUAUAC